RNAcentral lists this unclassified non-coding RNA (143 nucleotides) under Myrmecridium schulzeri. Its description in RNAcentral is "partial internal transcribed spacer 2". Lineage: Eukaryota; Fungi; Ascomycota; Sordariomycetes; Myrmecridiales; Myrmecridiaceae. The record is from RNAcentral. RNAcentral also lists the same sequence under 1 other name.
CAACCCUCAAGCCUGGCUUGGUGUUGGGGCUCUGCGUCUGCAGUCCCUUAAAUCCAGUGGCGGACACGCUAGGUCUCCGAGCGCAGUAGUUUCUUCUCGCUCAGGGCGUCCGGCGUGGGCUUGCCUCGCACCCAUCUUAUCAA